This 31-nucleotide non-coding RNA is filed under the name Mus musculus (house mouse). Lineage: Eukaryota; Metazoa; Chordata; Mammalia; Rodentia; Muridae. The record is from RNAcentral.
UGCCUUUGUGAGCGGUUAGAUGAUGCUCGUU